AUAUCAUGGUGUGGACACUUUCUUAGAAGAUCAUUGUAUCCCUCCCACGCAUCAAAAAGCUAUUCUCCCGGGAUUUGGGAAAAUGCCAUGAUUUCUUUUCUCAUUU
Small nucleolar RNA from Cornus florida, 106 nucleotides. The record is from RefSeq and is a predicted model, not a curated record. NCBI's taxonomy places the organism in Eukaryota, Viridiplantae, Streptophyta, Magnoliopsida, Cornales, Cornaceae.